ACGUAGGGGGCAAGCGUUAUCCGGAUUUACUGGGUGUAAAGGGAGCGUAGACGGAGCAGCAAGUCUGAUGUGAAAACCCGGGGCUCAACCCCGGGACUGCAUUGGAAACUGUUGAUCUGGAGUGCCGGAGAGGUAAGCGGAAUUCCUAGUGUAGCGGUGAAAUGCGUAGAUAUUAGGAGGAACACCAGUGGCGAAGGCGGCUUACUGGACGGUAACUGACGUUGAGGCUCGAAAGCGUGGGGAGCAAACAG
Molecule: ribosomal RNA, 251 nt
Filed under: uncultured bacterium
Lineage: Bacteria
Description: partial 16S ribosomal RNA
Rfam family: Bacterial small subunit ribosomal RNA
Source: RNAcentral